UACGUAGGCAGCAAGUGUUGUUCGGAAUUACUGGGCGUAAAGAGUGUGUAGGCGGUGCUCUAAGUCUGUUGUGAAAUCUCCCGGCUUAACCGGGAGGGUGCGGCGGAAACUGGAGUGCUUGAGGGUGGGAGAGGUAAGCGGAAUUCCUGGUGUAGCGGUGAAAUGCGUAGAUAUCAGGAGGAACACCUGUGGUGUAGACAGCUUACUGGACCACUUCUGACGCUGAGACACGAAAGCGUGGGUAGCAAACAGG
Molecule: ribosomal RNA, 253 nt
Filed under: uncultured bacterium
Lineage: Bacteria
Description: partial 16S ribosomal RNA
Rfam family: Bacterial small subunit ribosomal RNA
Source: RNAcentral